RNAcentral lists this ribosomal RNA (497 nucleotides) under uncultured bacterium. Its description in RNAcentral is "partial 16S ribosomal RNA". It matches the Rfam family "Bacterial small subunit ribosomal RNA", at positions 28 to 507 of the family's 1533-position model. The record is from RNAcentral.
GAUGAACGCUGGCGGCGUGCCUAAUACAUGCAAGUCGAGCGAACAGACGAGGAGCUUGCUCCUCUGACGUUAGCGGCGGACGGGUGAGUAACACGUGGAUAACCUACCUAUAAGACUGGGAUAACUUCGGGAAACCGGAGCUAAUACCGGAUAAUAUAUUGAACCGCAUGGUUCAAUAGUGAAAGACGGUUUUGCUGUCACUUAUAGAUGGAUCCGCGCCGCAUUAGCUAGUUGGUAAGGUAACGGCUUACCAAGGCAACGAUGCGUAGCCGACCUGAGAGGGUGAGAGGCCCAAGUGGAAUGUAGACACGGCCCAGAUGCAGACGGGCGGCGGCAGGCGGGAAUAUUCGACAAUGGGCGAAGGCCUGACGAAGCAAAGACGAGGGAGUGAUGAAGGUCUUAGGAUCGUAAAACUCUGUGAUUAGGCAAGAACAAAAGGGCAAGUAACGCGCCGUGGCGGGACGGUACCUAAUCAGAAAGCGACGGCUCACUCCGUG